Molecule: ribosomal RNA, 473 nt
Filed under: uncultured bacterium
Lineage: Bacteria
Description: bacterial SSU rRNA
Rfam family: Bacterial small subunit ribosomal RNA
Source: RNAcentral
GAUGAACGCUAGCGAGACGCUUAACACAUGCAAGUCGAAUGUAGAUUUAUCUACAUGGCAGACGGGUGAGUAACACGUGCUUAAUUUACCCCGGAGUGGGGACAACAUCGGAAACGGUGAUAAUCCCGCAUACGUUCCACAAAAUGAAAAUAUGUGGAAGAAAGAUUUAUCGCUCUGGGAGGAGGGCGCGGCUGACUAGUUAGUUGGUGAGGUAAUGGCUCACCAAGACGAUGAUCAGUAGCUGGUCUGAGAGGACGAACAGCCACAAUGGGACUGAGACAAGGCCCAUACCCCUACGGGGGCGAGCAGUGGGAAGUCUUGCGCAAUGGACGAAAGUCUGACGCAGCGAUCUCGCGUGAAGGAUGAAGCUUUGCGGAGUGUAAACUUCUUUUCUGGGAGAAAACGACUGAUGGUAUCUCAAGAAUAAGGGACGGCUAACUACGUGCCAGCAGCCGCGGUUAAUGUAGUCGUGU